GGGGAAUUUUGGACAAUGGGGGAAACCCUGAUCCAGCCAUGCCGCGUGAGUGAGGAAGGCCUUAGGGUUGUAAGGCUCUUUCACCCGUGACGAUGAUGACGGUAACGGGAGAAGAAGCCCCGGCUAACUCCGUGCCAGCAGCCGCGGUAAGACGGAGGGGGCUGGCGUUGUUCGGAAUUACUGGGCGUAAAGCGCGCGUAGGCGGCCAGUCAAGUUAGGCGUGAAAGGCCUGGGCUCAACCUGGGAACUGCGCUUAAGACUGAUCGGCUCGAGUCCGGGAGAGGGUGGUGGAAUUCCCAGUGUAGAGGUGAAAUUCGUAGAUAUUGGGAGGAACACCAGUGGCGAAGGCGGCCACCUGGCCCGGCACUGACGCUGAGGCGCGAAAGCGUGGGGAGCAAAC
RNAcentral lists this ribosomal RNA (400 nucleotides) under uncultured bacterium. Its description in RNAcentral is "bacterial SSU rRNA". It matches the Rfam family "Bacterial small subunit ribosomal RNA", at positions 356 to 773 of the family's 1533-position model. The record is from RNAcentral.